RNAcentral lists this ribosomal RNA (253 nucleotides) under uncultured bacterium. Its description in RNAcentral is "partial 16S ribosomal RNA". It matches the Rfam family "Bacterial small subunit ribosomal RNA", at positions 524 to 776 of the family's 1533-position model. The record is from RNAcentral.
UACAGGGGGUGCAAGCGUUGCUCGGAAUCAUUGGGCGUAAAGCGCACGUAGGCGGUCUGUUAUGUCGGAUGUGAAAGCCCUUGGCUCAACUGAGGAAGUGCAUCCGAAACUGGCAGGCUAGAGUACUAAAGAGGGUCGCGGAAUUCCCGGUGUAGAGGUGAAAUUCGUAGAUAUCGGGAGGAACACCGGUGGCGAAGGCGGCGACCUGGGUAGAUACUGACGCUGAGGUGCGAAAGCGUGGGGAGCAAACAGG